This is a long non-coding RNA of Antechinus flavipes (yellow-footed antechinus), 4518 nucleotides long. RefSeq lists it as uncharacterized. The record is from RefSeq and is a predicted model, not a curated record. Lineage: Eukaryota; Metazoa; Chordata; Mammalia; Dasyuromorphia; Dasyuridae. The transcript has 5 exons.
UAAAAGGAGGGACAGCUCCUGGGCUUGUCUUUCUGGUUGUUCACUCACUUAUCCCGUGAUUAUGGAGCUGUGUUUUGGAAGAAGGGGAAAAAAGGAAAACCAGAUAGACAACUGCCCAGAGUAUCAAGAAGUUAAAUGAAUUGUUCACAGUCACACUGUCAGUAUAUGAGUGAGAGUAAGGACCUGAACCCAGAUGUUCCUGACUCCAAGAAACACUGGGAAUUUUGAAAGAACUCUGAGGCUUGAUGAAAGAAUCCUGGGGCAAGAUGAAGAAAUGGAGACUGAGAGAGUUCAAGUGACUUGCCCAUAGUUGAAGAGCUGGUUUCUAUGAGAUCUGGGUAACUUCUUCAGUCAUGGCAUCCAGUGAAAAGAAUUUAGUUUCCAGCCUUGGGAAUUUCACCAGGUCAGAAGAGCAAGCUACAAGAUGCUAAGAAUUAGAACUUAAACUUAUCCAGUUGAACGCCAGUGUCCUGGGAAACAAAGAACUAUUUUAAAGAGCAAUCUUUGAGACUCUAGUCCAGUGGAAGGAUUCAUCUAGCAGCUGUUCACAUAUGUACUUGAACUUGGUAGGACCAAUACUAUGCAAAAAACUGAGCUGUUUUGAGAUUUCCAUUCUGGUACUUUGGGGUGGGGAGAGGGUGAAAAAUAGAUGUUAGGGGAAAUGAUUGAAUGUUCCUGAUAUAUAUGUGAAAAAAUAUCUCUUUGUAAAAGCCAGUAGAUCCUGAGUGGUUAAGUGGAACAGAGUCCUAGUCACUGGGCCCCUAAAAAUGGAAUGAACACAACCAGUGAGGGUCUAGAGCUAAUAAUAGAGGAAAGAGAAAUCGUGAGCUCCCCAGGAUGCCUGAAAACGCUUAGUGAGGGGAUGUAUCAAAGUAAGAGUCAACCGUGUUCUAAUAUAAACACCUAAGUACAAGUUAGCUAUUACUUUAUCUGUCAGUGCUUAAUAUAAGCACAGAUACUCUCCCAGAAUUAAGUUUAAAAUUCCCCUUCAAUCCCUCUGAAGAAUCAAAGGACCCUUCUGGGCUGGGCUGGCUCUGGCAAUUGGGUUUUGGUGUUUGUCACUUUUGAAAGUGACAAGAAAGAGGCUUCUGUCUUUUCCAAUUUUUUCACCAGCCUUCAGGCAUCAAAAGCUUACAUUAAAUUACCAACUGCUUACAUUAGUUAUAAGAGCAGGAUUUUAGCUACUCAUACAUCCUAUGGCUCCCAGGAAAUAAAAUGAAUGAAUUAGAUUAGAUGACCUGGAAGAUUUCUUCUAGUUCUAAAAAUCUAUGAUCCCAUGAUCUUUGAGAGUCUUCCCUGAAUAGAGCUUCUCUUUGCUCAGAAUGGCAGCUUUGGGAAAGAACCUCAGAAAGGGUCUAAUCCUAUCUCUUCAUUUUAUAAAAGAGGAAACUUGGAAGACAAUAAAGGACACGGGACUGUCCAAGGUCACAUAGUUAGAGAGUAGUUAGCCUCAAAAAUUCCAGAAUCUUGUCUCUGACCACACAGAAAGAGAAUACCAUGAGCCAUUCUUAAAAAUAAUUCCUAAUCAGGCAGCUCCCAUGUGCCUCUGGUUCUCAUUUUUAAAAAAUAUGUAAUACAACAUAAUAAAUAUUUAUAGAUUUAUAAAGUACCUACAGUGUAUAAAGUUCACUACAGUGAACAAUAUUUGAAGCACUGGUUAAAAUACAAAAUUUAGAUAAAUACUGCUUGACCUCAAGGAAUUUACUAUCUAGUGGGUGAAUGAGUCAACAAGGGCAACUAUAAUGUACAAUACUCUGAAGAUCUCUAUUGUAUGUUAUUUUGCAUACAAUGUUGAAGAUGACACUUUAAUCUAGAAACUCCUAUUAUCUUCUAAUCCUAUUAUGGAACAUUGCCUUUUAUUUCAAUGAACUUUUGAGGAAGCACUACAGUGAGAUAACUGCAUUUUAAAAUGGAACUAUUGUAUGAUUUCCUCAUAAUCUGGGAUUAAACUGAAUCUCUCAAAGUAAGGAAACAACCAGCCUAGAAAAGAUAGAAUCUAUCAAGAUAUAAGCUGAAGGUAUGAUCUUCCCACUUUUUGCAAUUAGCUUUCUUUUGAUUAUCCUACCAUCUAAGAUAUCUUCUCAUCCUAGCCUCUUUGUAAUUGUAUUCAAAGAGAUCGUCCUAAAGGUUGUCUGGCAAACUGUACCCUCCUCUCCCCAACCCACCAGAUGGCCAAUGUGCUGCUUUCUUUCAGUAUUAUAGUUUAAAAUGUGAUCGUGGAUAUCAGAGGUGUGCUGGUAAAUGUUUAACAACUGGCUCUCUGGGGGAAGAGGGGGAAGUUACACACUUUUAAAUGUAAUGGGUAUUACGAACAUUUUCUCCAUUGCUUUAAAUCUAGACAACAAACAGAAUAAUAAACCAGGCUCUGAUUUGUGGGCUAAAUGAUUUGUUACUCCCAUUCACCUAAUCUCCUCUCCCAUUUUUGCUUUCUGAUUAAAUGUUAUCCAUCCUUCAAAGCCAAGCCCAAGUCCCACAUUCUCCAAAAUACCUUCCCUAAAUUCUCCCUCUUUUUUCCUGAGUUCCUAGGGCUCCUACUAUGUCAUACAAUUUGAUCCUUAGUCCCAUAUUGUUUUUCCUAGUUUUCUACUUACUUCCUACAUGUUUAUCUUAUCUGCCCAGUAAGAUUUUAAUGAAUCUUCCUUAUAUUUUCUCAGCUAUCAUCCCUACUAAUCCAGUGCUAGAUGCAUAGUAGAUGUUUAGGAAAUAUGAGUUUAAAAAAUUGAAUUGAAUUGAAAAGGCAGUGUGAAAAAAAUUCUGAAUCUGCAGUCAGGAAAGGGAUGGGUUUGGUUCCUGUUCCUGGUUCUUACUAAUUAUGUAUUCCUAGGCACUUCCUAACCCUCUCUGGGCCUCAGCUUCUCCAUCUGUAAAACAGGGAAAUACUACUGGUAUUGCUUAAUCACCAUCACUGUCACCUUGUGGUGAAGCUCAACUGAGAUAAUAUAUACCAUGAAGUGGUGAUGUCAAAUUCAAAUAGAAGUGGGGGCCCCUAAAAAAUCUAUAAUGAUUCCCAUGAGCUGCAUAUUGAUGUAGAAAACUACAUAGUAACAUUAGCUGUGUUUUAUUGUAUUUUUACUUAUUUUGUUCAAUAUUUUCCACUUCCAUUUAAAUCUGAUUGGACCAUAAAUGUUGUGGGCUAUGUAUUUGACAAUUUCUGCUGCGAACUUUAUAGCACUAUAUCCAUUUUGUCUUAUAAUCAAUAGCUCAUUUCUGAUAUUUGUUUUUUAAAAAACACUUUUUAGACCUUUGGACUUGGAAUCAGGAAAAUUUUAUUUGAAUUUUAUCUCAACCACUUAGGAGCUUUGAGGAAAGUCAGUUAAGCUCUCUGGGACUCAGUUACCUCAUCUUUAAAAUGAGACAAUUGGUCUCCAUGACCUUUAAGAUACCACACACCUCACAAUCUAUGCUCCUAUGAUAAGUCAUCCCAUUCUUUCUUUGAAUUCUGUUGGGGAUUUGGUGCCACAAAGGAACAGGAUGCCUGGGUGCUAGGGUUGGAGAAAUGGAUCCUGCUCAGAGAGUGGGGAAAAGGAGGUGUGGUCCGCAGAUCAAAAAGAAAAAGUCAAGGUAUACAGACUGGCUUUGCCUGUUUGUUAGCUGUUGUACAUUAAGUGCCUGGUCUCCAUCUGUAAUUGCCCAGGACAGAUGUCUAUCUCUUAUAUCAGUAACUGGUCUGCAGCAUUGGCCCCAGUCCCCUGACUGCAUUGUCAUUCUGCAAACAGGCCUGGUUGGUAAUCAGAAUCAGCUGCUAGGAUCAAUCGUGGCCUUACAGGGCCUUAUCUCCCUAUUGUAGCUCUGCAAAUUAUUAUUUCUUUCUGCUGUAAUGAAAAAAAAAAGUCUCCAUUGAUUGCUAAAUGCAAGGCCUGAUGUUCCCUCAUGAUUGCCUUCAGAAUAAAUUGAAUACUGUAUUGUCCAGUAAUAAUUAUCAUGUUAUAGAGAUUUCAGCUAGCAAGAUAGGAAAAAUGGCUGUCAAUUAGAAGCUAGCAAAUAAGCCAGUGACUAAACUGUACCGAUGCAUAUUUUUAAAUGGCCUGAUUUAUUUACAUAUCAGGCUACCUCAUCACUCCCUGAGAAUGUCACUGAGCCAUAAUGGAAAACCUUGUAUGGAACUGAAACUCACCUUGAACUCUUGAGUUAAGAAGAGAGACUGUAAUCACAGGGGACUGGGGGAGCACAGAAAAGGAGCCGCAGUUUAGGUCAGAUACUGAUAAGAAAAGAUGAAGGCAGGCAGUUGCUUUCCCUCUUUUCCACUGCCAUGGACAUCACCUUACUUCAGGAUCUGCUCUCAUCGUCUCACAACUGGACCCCUUUAAGAGCGUCCCAACUUGUCUCCAUGACUCCAGCCUCUGUCCUCUCCAUUUUGAUACCAUCCUGCUGCCAAAUAAAACUCUCUAAUGCUCUUCAUUUGUUCUUCCUCCCCAUGUUUGACCUGUAGCUUUAAAUGCUGGAAUCCAAUGGUAGCCCCUGAGUGGGACCAGGCUGAAGGAAGGAGCCCAUGGGCUCAGCUUCUAAUGGAAGACAUAA